Non-coding RNA from Zootermopsis nevadensis, 509 nucleotides. The record is from RefSeq and is a predicted model, not a curated record. NCBI's taxonomy places the organism in Eukaryota, Metazoa, Arthropoda, Insecta, Blattodea, Termopsidae.
UAGUCAAUGUUACAAACCUGAAAUAUCAGUUGGAACUUGUUGAACACUGCUAUACCCAGGCUCAACAAAAGAUUAAGAUCAGUGUCAUGCACGUUAUUUAAAACCAGAAAUCAUUCAGAUCAAUGCACGUGGCCACACCGCAGUCUCUGAUUAUGGGCUGUGCAAAAUCUUCAAUCGCCACACAAAGGACAGCCCCAGUAAAAAUCAGCCAUUGGUGGCCUUAGCAUCCAAUAAGCAUUCUCCAGGUAUAAGAAUCAACAAUGAGAUGGUAACAGAUGCAAAGCAAUUAGCUUGGUGCACAGGGGAGGAAUGGUGAAACAAGGUUCGGUAGCGAUAGUGUUAACUCAGGAAAUAUUUUUAUAAUUGUAAUACUGAUAACUUCAUAAGUUUUAUUUAAAAUUAUUUUUAAAAUUAUGUUUUAAUUCUAAACUCCAUCACAGUGGCAAAGAGAAUCCCAACAAGAUCAGCUGUGUUUGAACACUAUACAAGCAUUACAAAUGGAAAACAUU